GACGAACGCUGGCGGCGUGCUUAACACAUGCAAGUCGAACGGUAAGGCCUUUCGGGGUACACGAGUGGCGAACGGGUGAGUAACACGUGGGUGAUCUGCCCUGCACUUCGGGAUAAGCCCGGGAAACUGGGUCUAAUACCGGAUAGGACUGCGCGGUGCAUGCCGUGUGGUGGAAAGAUUUAUCGGUGCAGGAUGGGCCCGCGGCCUAUCAGCUUGUUGGUGGGGUAAUGGCCUACCAAGGCGACGACGGGUAGCCGGCCUGAGAGGGCGACCGGCCACAUGGGGAAUGAGACAGGGCCCAGACCCCGCGGGGGGGCAGCGGGGGGGAUUUUUGCAAACGGGGCCGAAGCCGGAUCCAGCACCCCCGGGGGGGGGAUCGCGGCUUGCGGUUUGUAACCCGUUUCCGCCGGGGACGAGGCGUGGGUGAGGGUCCGUGAAAAAGAAGCCCCGCCAACCCACUUC
RNAcentral lists this ribosomal RNA (462 nucleotides) under uncultured bacterium. RNAcentral describes it as "partial 16S ribosomal RNA". It matches the Rfam family "Bacterial small subunit ribosomal RNA", at positions 28 to 507 of the family's 1533-position model. The record is from RNAcentral.